This 442-nucleotide ribosomal RNA is filed under the name uncultured bacterium. RNAcentral describes it as "partial 16S ribosomal RNA". It matches the Rfam family "Bacterial small subunit ribosomal RNA", at positions 338 to 795 of the family's 1533-position model. The record is from RNAcentral.
CCUACGGGAGGCAGCAGUAGGGAAUAUUGCUCAAUGGGCGCAAGCCUGACCCAGCAACGCCGCGUGAAGGAAGAAGGCGUUCGGGUUGUAAACUUCUUUUGUCAGGGAAGAGUAGAAGACGGUACCUGACGAAUAAGCCACGGCUAACUACGUGCCAGCAGCCGCGGUAAUACGUAGGUGGCAAGCGUUGUCCGGAUUUACUGGGUGUAAAGGGCGUGUAGCCGGGUUGACAAGUCAGAUGUGAAAUCCUGCGGCUUAACCGCAGAACUGCAUUUGAAACUGUUGAUCUUGAGUACUGGAGAGGCAGACGGAAUUCCUAGUGUAGCGGUGAAAUGCGUAGAUAUUAGGAGGAACACCAGUGGCGAAGGCGGUCUGCUGGACAGCAACUGACGGUGAGGCGCGAAAGCGUGGGGAGCAAACAGGAUUAGAUACCCUUGUAGUC